UUGCUGAUCACAUGGUCCUAGUACCGGUGACAUAUCUUUCAAGUGUCUGCCCUAUCAACUUUCGAUGGUAGUUUAUGUGCCUACCAUGGUUGUAACGGGUGACGGAGAAUAAGGGUUCGACUCCGGAGAGGGAGCCUGAGAAAUGGCUACCACAUCCAAGGAAGGCAGCAGGCGCGCAAAUUACCCACUCUCAGUACGAGGAGGUAGUGACGAAAAAUAACGAGAUGGUUCUCUAUGAGGCCCAUCAUCGGAAUGGGUACAAUUUAAACCCUUUAACGAGGAUCUAUUGGAGGGCAAGUCUGGUGCCAGCAGCCGCGGUAAUUCCAGCUCCAAUAGCAUAUACCAAUUCUGUUGCUGUUAAAAAGCUCGUAGUUGAACGGUUUUUGAGGAUGGAGU
RNAcentral lists this ribosomal RNA (396 nucleotides) under Nematoda sp. YAMAG2018. RNAcentral describes it as "SSU rRNA". It matches the Rfam family "Eukaryotic small subunit ribosomal RNA", at positions 260 to 657 of the family's 1831-position model. Lineage: Eukaryota; Metazoa; Nematoda. The record is from RNAcentral.